Molecule: ribosomal RNA, 304 nt
Filed under: uncultured bacterium
Lineage: Bacteria
Description: partial 16S ribosomal RNA
Rfam family: Bacterial small subunit ribosomal RNA
Source: RNAcentral
CAGCAGUAGCCGCGGGAAUACGUAGGUGGCAAGCGUUGUCCGGAAUUAUUGGGCGUAAAGGGCUCGCAGGCGGUUUCUUAAGUCUGAUGUGAAAGCCCCCGGCUCAACCGGGGAGGGUCAUUGGAAACUGGGAAACUUGAGUGCAGAAGAGGAGAGUGGAAUUCCACGUGUAGCGGUGAAAUGCGUAGAGAUGUGGAGGAACACCAGUGGCGAAGGCGACUCUCUGGUCUGUAACUGACGCUGAGGAGCGAAAGCGUGGGGAGCGAACAGGAUUAGAUACCCCCGUAGUCCCUGUCUCUUAUAC